Octopus sinensis (East Asian common octopus) is the source of this 191-nucleotide long non-coding RNA. RefSeq lists it as uncharacterized. The transcript is spliced from 3 exons. Lineage: Eukaryota; Metazoa; Mollusca; Cephalopoda; Octopoda; Octopodidae. The record is from RefSeq and is a predicted model, not a curated record.
UGUGUGUGUGUGUGUGUAUGAAGGGUUUAGUUCAUUGGUGAUCUAAACGAAUAGGUACGCUGAGUAAGUGCUAUAAUUGGUCAUCCGUUAAGUUCCAAGUUCACAGCUGAGAUUGGAGCUAGGGAUCCGUAUUAGGCUUCCGAGUUAGCAGGUGUAUAUUAUGUUAGAAGGAAAAGGACAGCAAAACCCAA